This 252-nucleotide long non-coding RNA is filed under the name Daucus carota (carrot). RNAcentral's name for it is "long non-coding RNA (DCAR_LNC001423)". Lineage: Eukaryota; Viridiplantae; Streptophyta; Magnoliopsida; Apiales; Apiaceae. The record is from RNAcentral.
GCUAAGCCUUUACUGGUUAGUGGUUCUAUUCUCUGCAUCACUGCAUGUAUGAAUCAGAAAUGUUAAUUAGCAAAAAAAUGAAUCAGAAAUGUUAAAUCAGUGGAAGGAGCUAAAUCAUGUCUAGGUAACAGAAUAGAUGUUCUUAAAAAAGACCUCGAAAGUCGAAACCAUUUAUGGUUGCUCUAAUUAUCAUUUGCAUAGAUGUAGUUAAUACGGGCGUGCUCUGUUGUUAUUAGUAGAACAUUCGUCCUG